RNAcentral lists this ribosomal RNA (298 nucleotides) under uncultured eukaryote. RNAcentral's name for it is "partial 18S ribosomal RNA". It matches the Rfam family "Eukaryotic small subunit ribosomal RNA", at positions 1470 to 1796 of the family's 1831-position model. The record is from RNAcentral.
CCCUUAGACACUCUAGGCGGCACGCGCGCUACAAUGGGUGGAAGAACGUGUUACUGCCUCCGAAAGGAGGGGUGAAUCACGAAUUCUUGCCCGUGAAUGGGAUAGUUUGUUGCAAUUUUCGGACUUGAACUAGGAAUCCCUUGUAAACAUGCUCAAGAAUAGCGUGUUGAAUACGUCCCUGCCGUUUGUACACACCGCCCGUCGUUUCUUCCGACUGAUACUCAUUGUGAGUCGCAAGGACCCUUUAUUGGGAAAUUGCUGCAAAUGCUUUGUAUUGGAGGAAGAAAAAGUCGUAACA